GUGGUUCUAAAAUUCUGUAUGAUACUAAUUUCUUGUGAUCAUAUUGAAAAUGAGUUCUAUGCUUUGGAUGCAUUAAAAUUCAUCAUAUUCAUACCACAAUUCACAACUAACGAAUUAGGAAAGUUUAAUGACUAGACUUUCCAGAAAUGGCAUGUUGCUUAGGAAAAGCUUUCGUUGAUCAUGCAUAACUUUCUAUACUUAGUAAAAUGAUGUACUAACCCUAAUCACUUUACUCUUUUUAUAGGUGCAAGUCAGAGGACAGAGUGAUGACACUUGCAGAGGUUUGGACUUCAGCGUUUCUCCAGACCAUUUGGUCCAUUGACUUUCCUAAUCCAAUUUUGGUGCAGGCACAGGUGGAUGUUAGAUCGUAUGGUAGAACAUUACAGUUAUCCCGACGUGGAGCUUUCAUCCGGACUUGGUAGACCCUCAUGCUUUCGAGGCUGUCUACUGUUAUUAUCUAGCUUAGAUGCAGUUCUUAGCUAGUUGAGCAUGUUCCACUAGUGUU
Long non-coding RNA from Solanum lycopersicum (tomato), 505 nucleotides. RefSeq lists it as uncharacterized. Lineage: Eukaryota; Viridiplantae; Streptophyta; Magnoliopsida; Solanales; Solanaceae. The record is from RefSeq and is a predicted model, not a curated record.